UACGGGAGGCAGCAGUGGGGAAUAUUGCACAAUGGGCGCAAGCCUGAUGCAGCCAUGCCGCGUGUAUGAAGAAGGCCCUUCGGGUUGUAAAGUACUUUCAGUCGUGAGGAAGGUGUUAAGGUUAAUAACCUUAGCAAUUGACGUUAGCGACAGAAGAAGCACCGGCUAACUCCGUGCCAGCAGCCGCGGUAAUACGGAGGGUGCGAGCGUUAAUCGGAAUUACUGGGCGUAAAGGGCACGCAGGCGGUUAAUUAAGUUGGAUGUGAAAUCCCCGGGCUUAACCUGGGAAUGGCAUUCAAGACUGGUUAGCUAGAGUCUUGUAGAGGGGGUAGAAUUCCAUGUGUAGCGGUGAAAUGCGUAGAGAUGUGGAGGAAUACCGGUGGCGAAGGCGGCCCCUGGACAAAGACUGACGCUCAUGUGCGAAAGCGUGGGGAGCAAACAGGAUUAGAUACC
RNAcentral lists this ribosomal RNA (453 nucleotides) under uncultured bacterium. RNAcentral's name for it is "bacterial SSU rRNA". It matches the Rfam family "Bacterial small subunit ribosomal RNA", at positions 340 to 786 of the family's 1533-position model. The record is from RNAcentral.